UACAUCAAUCAAUGUUUAUUUCCCAUUGUUCCAUUUGCAUCAACAACAAAAAAACAAAAACAUUUUCAGUUAUUAUUAUUUUAUUCUUCAGUCCGCUCUAAUACCCUACUAUAAUAUCAACAAGGUCAACAGGUGGUACAAUCCAUUUAAACAAGACACACUUAUACUGCCAUUGUUGAGAAAAGAACCAAACGGUUGUCUUGGAAACCAAACCGUUUGUUUGUUUGUUUGUUUGUUUGUUUGUUUGUUUGGACCAAGAACGGUUGUCUUGGAAACCAAACCGUUUGUUUGGACCAAUGGGGUUCCAGUGACAUCGGACAGAACCAUGAUUCAUUAAACAGGUAGGUAAACACCGUCUACAGAAAAACACUCAUCUAAACGAGGGUUGUUGUUGUACAGUUGAUAGAAAAUCCCCCCCCUCAAAAAACAUACAAAAACACCCUGUUUGUCAAUCAGUAGAAUAUGUUGAUUUUUUCUCAGCCAUUGAAGUUAACUGCACUGUUACUAACUCAAACACAAACCUAAUGGACAGUAAAGUAAAUACUGAGACAUUAUCUAUAGACUAUAUUUCUAUGACAACCACACUCAGUUAUGAACAAUGUCCUUCUCAUUAGCCUGUAAAGGCCACCAUGUACUGUAGUAGCAGUACUUUAGUAUCCAACGCUGUGGGACUGACUGGCUCUCAGCACAGUAGGUUGUCUUUCCAACAGGAAUGUCUCACGAGCCUGAGAAGAAGCAGAGUCAAACUAAUAGAGAUAGUGCACAUUUUAACCUGUGUGUGUGUGUGUGUGUGUGUGUGUGUGUGUGUGUGUGUGUGUGUGUGUGUGUGUGUGUGUGUGUGUGUGUGUGUGUGUGUGUGUGUGAGAAAAUGGUGACUGUAUGGUCAUGGUAACAAUCCUUCUGUGGUUCAGGGCAGGGUGUACAUAGGUGGACAUAGGUGGACAUUGUUGGACAUAGGUGGACAUUAUUGGACAUAGGUGGACAUUGUUGGACAUAGGUAGACAUUGUUGGACAUUGUUGGACAUAGGUGGACAUUAUUGGACAUAGGUAGACAUUGUUGGACAUUGUUGGACAUAGGUGGACAUUAUUGGACAUAGGUAGACAUUGUUGGACAUUGUUGGACAUAGGUGGACAUUAUUGGACAUAGGUAGACAUUGUUGGACAUUGUUGGACAUAGGUGGACAUUGUUGGACAUAGGUAGACAUUGUUGGACAUAGGUAGACAUUGUUGGACAUUGUUGGACAUAGGUGGACAUUGUUGGACAUAGGUAGACAUUGUUGGACAUAGGUAGACAUUGUUGGACAUUGUUGGACAUAGGUGGACAUUGUUGGACAUAGGUGGACAUUGUUGGACAUAGGUAGACAUUGUUGGACAUAGGUAGACAUUGUUGGACAUUGUUGGACAUUAUUGGACAUAGGUAGACAUUGUUGGACAUAGGUGGACAUUGUUGGACAUAGGUAGACAUUGUUGGACAUAGGUAGACAUUGUUGGACAUAGGUAGACAUUGUUGGACAUAGGUAGACAUUGUUGGACAUAGGUAGACAUUGUUGGACAUAGGUAGACAUUGUUGGACAUAGGUAGACAUUGUUGGACAUAGGUGGACAUUAUUGGACAUAGGUAGACAUUGUUGGACAUUGUUGGACAUAGGUGGACAUUAUUGGACAUAGGUAGACAUUGUUGGACAUUGGUAGACAUAGGUGGACAUUGUUGGACAUAGGUGGACAUUGUUGGACAUAGGUGGACAUUGUUGGACAUAGGUGGACAUUGUUGGACAUAGGUGGACAUUGUUGGACAUAGGUGGACAUUGUUGGACAUAGGUGGACAUUGUUGGACAUAGGUGGACAUUGUUGGACAUAGGUGGACAUUGUUGGACAUAGGUGGACAUAGGUGGAUAUUGUUG
Oncorhynchus keta (chum salmon) is the source of this 1900-nucleotide long non-coding RNA. RefSeq lists it as uncharacterized. The transcript has 7 exons. The record is from RefSeq and is a predicted model, not a curated record. NCBI's taxonomy places the organism in Eukaryota, Metazoa, Chordata, Actinopteri, Salmoniformes, Salmonidae.